UUCUUAUUAGUCCAAUCGGCUGUAAGCCAAGGCUGGCUACUGGCAUCAUCUCUACUCUGUAUUUUGUAUACUCUUCUUAACUGGUAUGUUCUGAUUAAAUUCAUAUUCCAAACUAUGUGUUUGCUUUGUUAAUGCAGUUCACCAAUUUGUGAUUUCCCUAUGGUAUUCUAGUUAAUAUGCAAUCAACAUGCCUUGAUUAUUGUAUCGCAAAACAUGUUUAAGCUCAUAGCUAUUAUAUUGUUUGGCAUGUCAAUCCUGCUUUAAAUAAUUGGUUCACUAGCAUGUCCCAAGCUGCAUUGUGUGCUUAUGAUUUCACCCAGCAUGACCAAAUCCUGCAUGUUCUGUAUAUGAUUAGUAUUUCUAAAACCUUGAAUGUUUCAUGAAGUGUUUGUCUAGUCCAGUUUGUUCUAUUUCACUAAUGAGAUCUUAUUUGUGUCUUAAACCUAUGUGUUCUCAACUUAACUUUGCAACUACAAUCUAUGUAUUUGAUUGCCCCAUCACUAAGGUACAUUCUAGUUGUUCCCUUUACCUAUUUCCCUUGUGAGAGGUCUGUUAUGAAACUGUGUGUUCUCUGACCUGCCUUCUGAUUAUUUUAUAAAAUGUUCUCCAUUUUUUCUCAUUAUAUUCCUAGUCUAACUAUGUUCUGAUUUUCAUAAAAUUCUUUCUAUUACUAAUACCUUCUUUCUAUUUUUACCAAACUCUUUCAAAGUCAUUAUUCACUCUCACAUGACUCUUAGAAUACUAGGUUCUGCCCCUCUUACAUGUGUAUUGCUUUGAGAUCCUUGAGAUCUCUCUAAAAUCAGGCAUGUUAGAGCUGACCUUUCCACACUGCACCUAAAUCAGUUAUUUUUUGAGAAAAGGGUCUAGGUGAGAGCACUGCCUGGGAUCUAUAAGGUCCUUAGGGAACUCUAACAUACCUAGACAUGAUAUUGUCUGUGGAACUUUGGUAUUUGAGGCUGUUGGAGGCUUGGAAGUCAUUUGAGCCUACUGCAGGCUCCCUAUAGAUUAACUCCUAUUCAUUUAUGUAUUUUGAUUUAAUGCAUUAGUUUGUAAUAAUUAUUGUAAACAACACUAGGGUGAUUAGUGAAAAGGGGGUGGUUAGUUAUAUAUAUAUUAGGUAAAUCGGGUAGAUACCAUGCCAAUAGGGUUGUGUUAAUUCAAAUGUAUUUGCUACGUUUGCUUUACUUCCACAAUAUUAG
This 1199-nucleotide long non-coding RNA is filed under the name Nicotiana benthamiana. RNAcentral's name for it is "long non-coding RNA (NBEN_LNC032273)". Lineage: Eukaryota; Viridiplantae; Streptophyta; Magnoliopsida; Solanales; Solanaceae. The record is from RNAcentral.